GACGAACGCUGGCGGCGUGCUUAACACAUGCAAGUCGAACGGAAAGGCCCUGCUUGCAGGGUGCUCGAGUGGCGAACGGGUGAGUAACACGUGGGUGAUCUGCCCCUUACUUUGGGAUAAGCCUGGGAAACUGGGUCUAAUACUGGAUAGGACCAUGCUGUAGGUGGUGUGGUGGAAAGAUUAGUUUCGGUAAGGGAUGAGCUCGCGGCCUAUCAGCUUGUUGGUGGGGUAAUGGCCUACCAAGGCGUCGACGGGUAGCCGGCCUGAGAGGGUGGACGGCCACAUUGGGACUGAGAUACGGCCCAGACGCCUACGGGAGGCAGCAGUGGGGAAUAUUGCACAAUGGGCGCAAGCCUGAUGCAGCGACGCCGCGUGGGGGAUGACGGCCUUCGGGUUGUAAACUCCUUGCAGCCAUGACGAAGCCCUUGUGGUGACGGUAGUGGUAGAAGAAGCACCGGCUAACUACGUG
RNAcentral lists this ribosomal RNA (469 nucleotides) under uncultured bacterium. Its description in RNAcentral is "partial 16S ribosomal RNA". It matches the Rfam family "Bacterial small subunit ribosomal RNA", at positions 28 to 507 of the family's 1533-position model. The record is from RNAcentral.